AGGAAGCCAUUUUGAGUAACUUCCUCAGGCAGGGCUGGGAGCAGAGAAGGGUCCAGAGGAAGGAACGGGCCUAGUUCCCACCACCAGCGUCGAGUGGGCUGGUCCUGUCCCCACAGAAGACACCACCAGGAAAGAAAGGAAGGGGGUGACAAGGAGACAGACCAUCCUUACGCAAAGGGAGGGAACUCAGCGAAGGAAUUUGGAGGGCUGCCUUUCAAAUGGUUAGCAGGCAGGUUUUUCUCCUGCGGUUACUGAAUGUGAAUAGUACCAUGAGAACGUCAUUGUUAACUCGGCCAGUACCCUGCGCUUCCCCAGCUGCAGGCCUUUCACAGGAGGACCACAAAGCACUUCGAGAUUGUUAAUUAACUGAGCCUACAGCUCCCCGGGAGCUGGUGGCAGAGGAGCUCAGGCAAAGGAGUGGGGGACAAGUGGAGUGAACUGAGGGAGAAAGACACCGGCA
This is a long non-coding RNA of Mauremys reevesii (Reeves's turtle), 460 nucleotides long. RefSeq lists it as uncharacterized. The record is from RefSeq and is a predicted model, not a curated record. The transcript is spliced from 4 exons. Lineage: Eukaryota; Metazoa; Chordata; Testudines; Geoemydidae.